RNAcentral lists this small RNA (950 nucleotides) under Pongo abelii (Sumatran orangutan). RNAcentral describes it as "retained intron". Lineage: Eukaryota; Metazoa; Chordata; Mammalia; Primates; Hominidae. The record is from RNAcentral.
UCCCAGCCAGAACGGAGCUUAAGCCGGGCAGGCGAGCGAAUGACCGAGUAGCGAGCUGCACGGCGGCGUGCUGCGCUGUUGAGGACGCUGUCCCGCGCGCUCCCAGGCCGUCCCGGGGCUUGGGGUCUUCGAAAGAUAAUCGGCGCCCGGGGCCGAACAGCGGGGGCACACGGGGCGCUGCCGAAGUGCAAGGCCACGGCCAGAGCUCGAGCCCGACGCGCUGUCUGGAGUCGUAGGUUGGCGUCGUUUGGGGUCGGGGUCUGAGGCUUGGGCGCUGCCUGGGCCGAGCGGAGAUCGGGGUUUGCCUCCCGUCCCCGCUCAGGAUCCUGACGUGGCUGAAGCGGCCCCGGGAGCAUGAGCGGGCAGCGCGUGGACGUCAAGGUGGUGAUGCUGGGCAAGGAGUACGUGGGCAAGACUAGCCUGGUGGAGCGCUACGUGCACGACCGCUUUCUGGUGGGGCCUUAUCAGAACACCAUCGGGGCCGCCUUCGUGGCCAAGGUGAUGUCGGUCGGAGACCGGACUGUGACAUUAGGUAUUUGGACCUCACAGACAGCAGCAGCUUUGAGCGAGCAAAGUUCUGGGUGAAGGAACUGCGCAGCCUAGAAGAGGUAGGUGAACAGACCUCACUAGAACACUGGGGGCUGGGGUUCUGUUGGUCUGUGGAGGUGACCCUUGUCUUCUGCCUCAGGGCUGCCAAAUCUACUUAUGUGGCACCAAGAGUGACCUGCUGGAAGAAGACCGGAGGCGUCGACGUGUGGACUUCCACGACGUCCAGGACUAUGCAGACAGUAGCUGCUCCUCAGCCCUUUGGGGGGUGGGGGUGUGUGGCUGUCUGGGUGGAUCAAAGAAAAUAGGGACUGCCUUGGCUGCCAGGGCAGGGUGCUCUAGGAGGUCUUCCUGGCCUCCUUGAACCGUGGGGUCUACGAGACUCCCUGAACUGCUAGCCCUCC